This is a long non-coding RNA of Lycium ferocissimum, 631 nucleotides long. RefSeq lists it as uncharacterized. The transcript is spliced from 2 exons. The record is from RefSeq and is a predicted model, not a curated record. Lineage: Eukaryota; Viridiplantae; Streptophyta; Magnoliopsida; Solanales; Solanaceae.
UAUAAAAAAAAAGUAAAUCUCAUAUUAAAAAAACAAACAAUGUCAAAAAAAAUGUGCAGACUUUGUAUUCGUAGCAAACACUAAUAUAAUAAAGUUUUAGAUACGGAGCACAAACUACAGUGUUAAUUGUGGGCCUACAUAUUAAACACAAACCAACCAAUAUUAAAAAAAAAAAAAAAAGUGUAUAGAACCCACCAUCUCCAAACUCACGGGAAAAAAAAAGUGGACCCCAUAUUAACAAAAUCAAGCAAUAUAAAAAAAAGUGAACCCCAUAUUAAAAAAAUAAACAAUGUCAAAAAAAAACGUGCAGCUUUUGUAUUCGUAGCAAACACUAAUAUAAUAAAGUUUUAGAUACGGAGCACAAAUACAAUGUUAUAUUAAUCGUGUUUUGAACAUUAAAAAAAAGAAGUAAAAAAAGUGGAACCCAUUAUCUCCAAAAUCACGGGGAAAAAAAAGUGGACCCCAUAUUAACAAAAUCAAGCAAUAUAAAAAAAAGUGAAUCCCAUAUUAAAAAAAUAAACAAUGUCAAAAAGAAAAUGUGCAGACUUUGUAUUCGUAGCAAAUACUAAUAUAAUAAAGUUUUAGAUACGGAGCACAAACUAUAAUGUUAUAUUAAUCGUAUUUUGAACAU